UUAAAGAAAGCGUAAUAGCUCACUGGUCGAGUCGGCCUGCGCGGAAGAUGUAACGGGGCUAAGUAGUAAACCGAAGCUGCGGCAAUGUGCUUUUGCACAUUGGGUAGGGGAGCGUUCUGUAAGCGGUUGAAGGUGUGUGGUAACGCAUGCUGGACGUAUCAGAAGUGCGAAUGCUGACAUGAGUAACGAUAAAGGGGGUGAAAAACCUCCUCGCCGGAAGACCAAGGGUUCCUGUCCAACGUUAAUCGGGGCAGGGUAAGUCGACCCCUAAGGCGAGGCCGAAAGGCGUAGUCGAUGGGAAACGGGUUAAUAUUCCCGUACUUCUUACAAUUGCGAUGGGGGGACGGAGAAGGCUAGGUGGGCCUGGCGACGGUUGUCCAGGUUCAAGUGCGUAGGCUUAAGAGUUAGGUAAAUCCGGCUCUUUCUAAGGCUGAGACACGACGUCGAGCACCUACGGGUGUGAAGUCAUUGAUGCCAUGCUUCCAGGAAAAGCCUCUAAGCUUCAGAUUGUAAGGAAUCGUACCCCAAAC
This 530-nucleotide ribosomal RNA is filed under the name Vibrio parahaemolyticus. RNAcentral's name for it is "partial 23S ribosomal RNA". It matches the Rfam family "Bacterial large subunit ribosomal RNA", at positions 1123 to 1654 of the family's 2925-position model. The record is from RNAcentral. Lineage: Bacteria; Pseudomonadati; Pseudomonadota; Gammaproteobacteria; Vibrionales; Vibrionaceae.